UUGUCUCUUUCUUCCUCUAGACUGUAUAUUCCAAGAGAGGAGGGACUAUAGCCCCAGAGUCCAGCAGGAAAACCAGUACAUGUGGAAUGAAGGAAACUGUGCUCAGAGCCUUGGCACAAACAGGGAAGGAGAGAAAAAGGACAGUAAACAACACCAUCAAGGAGGGCAGGGGUAAUUUCCUCCUAAAAUAGUUAAAUAGGAGUGGUGCAGAUUAGAGAUGGCCUCAAAAGCUUAAAGAAAGAAAAAAAAAAACAUGUAGAUUAUGUGGUUGGGAUCAAAGCACCCCUGAAAGUUUCUGAGAAAGAGCGUGUGGGGAAGAUGUANGAAAAAAAAACCAUGUAGAUUAUGUGGCUGGGAUCAAAGCACCCCUGAAAGUUUCUGAGAAAGAGCGUGUGGGGAAGAUGUAUUUUCAGCAGAUACUCAAGAACAGCACUAUCCAACAGAACUAAAGGCUGCUGGGGCUUUCACACGUCGAGCACAACCACGUUGGAGCUAGCGGCAGCGGCUGGUGACUACUGUACCGAACAACCCAGGUGGGGGCACAGAAGCCAUCCAGGAGUGAUCCAGGGUGACGAGAGCGCUGAACACGAUGACAGGGUUGAGAAUGGAGAGAAACCCAAGCGUGUGACAUUCCCCUGGCAGGAUUAGCAUGUCAGUUUGUCUGAGAGAGAGCCUUCACGCUGCUAACGUAUAUUUACACAUUUGGCCUUCAGUGUGCAUUGGAAAGGAGAAUCAGUUCACAUACAAGCUGUGAUUUUGUUUAUAUUUCCGUUCUCAGAGAUAGCUAUUUGUGAGUGAAACCUACCACCUUUCUCCAAGCCAUGAAAAUAGUGAAAAUACUUUCUGGAGGCUGAUUUCCCUAGUGUGGAAUGCAAGACUUGUAAAAUUCAAGCUUACUUGGUAGCAUUCAAGCCCAUUUUUAUGUACUAUGGGUCACAAUCAAUUCAAUUCCAUAAUCAUUGAAUGAGUUCCCACUAAUUGGAAGCUUGAGCUGCUGAGCAAUUAUCCUUUGCAGAAGAGUAAACAAAAGCAUAAUUUAUUAAUUUG
RNAcentral lists this long non-coding RNA (1047 nucleotides) under Vulpes vulpes (red fox). Its description in RNAcentral is "lncRNA (ENSVVUG00000010936.1)". Lineage: Eukaryota; Metazoa; Chordata; Mammalia; Carnivora; Canidae. The record is from RNAcentral.